This 253-nucleotide ribosomal RNA is filed under the name uncultured bacterium. Its description in RNAcentral is "partial 16S ribosomal RNA". It matches the Rfam family "Bacterial small subunit ribosomal RNA", at positions 524 to 776 of the family's 1533-position model. The record is from RNAcentral.
UACGUAGGGUGCAAGCGUUAAUCGGAAUUACUGGGCGUAAAGCGUGCGCAGGCGGUUAUGCAAGACAGAGGUGAAAUCCCCGGGCUCAAACUGGGAACUGCAUUUGUGACUGCAUGGCUAGAGUACGGUAGAGGGGGAUGGAAUUCCGCGUGUAGCAGUGAAAUGCGUAGAUAUGCGGAGGAACACCGAUGGCGAAGGCAAUCCCCUGGACCUGUACUGACGCUCAUGCACGAAAGCGUGGGGAGCAAACAGG